Leptonychotes weddellii (Weddell seal) is the source of this 1843-nucleotide long non-coding RNA. RefSeq lists it as uncharacterized. The record is from RefSeq and is a predicted model, not a curated record. Lineage: Eukaryota; Metazoa; Chordata; Mammalia; Carnivora; Phocidae.
GGCCUUGGGGGGCACCCCCGCCCCCGCCCCGCGCCCUGCGGGGGCUCCCGUUGCUCUUCUCCUGCUUUCCGGCGCUCCCCGUUUCCACAGCGUUGGGAUUGGGAGUCAGGCUGAAGCUGCUGGUGCUUACCCACAAGACGAGAAUACUGAGGACAUGUAGAGGAGAUCAGAUGACCUGCUUGGAGUUCAUUCCCACCUUAUAGACGGGCUGAGGAGAGAAGGGAAUAAAUUAUGCCGGUGACUGCAGGCGCCUGGACCUUCUGAUCAUAGCCGCCCACUGAAGAUAGUCACAUAUCAAUUUGGACGGAGGGAAUCACAUUCUUGGAGGCAAAGGGUAUGCACCCAGCUGCUGCUUCUGACCUGAGUCUCAUCCGGCUGAACGGCAGAGGAGCCAAGUGCGUGAGGAGUGAAGAUUCGGCCAGGAUAUGAAGAAUAAUGACCCAGAGCCUUUCCAAUUCCCUUUCUGGGAACCCUCAAUAGGGAGUGAGUUCACCAUCCCUAGACGUGUCCAAGCAGCAGCUUGCUGUCCACUCAUAGCAGACGAGCUGGCUGAGCUGGCCCCCGGGGGACCCCUCUGGUCCAGGAAGUCCCUGAGGUUUCAGAAGGGGCGGCUCAUGGCAGCUCAGCGUGGGCGUCCCACUGCCUGGCCCCCAUUUCAGCUGCCUGGUGGUUCUUAGGCCACCAAACGGGGGCCCCAUGUGGAGUCUUCCAAGUUCUUCUUUCCCUGAAUGGGCACUGGGCCAAAUGACCCAAGUGGUUGCUGUUUCCACCAGCAUGUACUUCUGGAAAUUGCCAGGACCUUCAGGAAUCUUCGAGGAUGAUGGAUGAGGAUGAGGUGACGCUGAGCGAGGUGCCGCGGAUCAGGCAAAGGUCCCUCGGGGCUCCUUGGGUGAAUCACAGUUCAUCGUGAUAAGUCCUGCCAAGGGUGGGGCGUGAGGCGGGGGCUACGGAAGAUUCUUCCAUCUCCUCCAUUUCUGGGAAUGUUUCUCCAGAGAAGCAUUAACAAGAGCUCUGGUGAUCUCAUCUUCGCUUCCCAGCCAGCCCACUCUCCACAGCUUGAGCAAAUCCAGGCAGUGCGUGCAUGGACUCGUUCAUUCAUUCACGUGCCACACACUGUGGGUGCAGAGACCGAGCUGGAGGCCCUGGCGUCGGGGAGCUCGGAGUGGGCGAGGUUUCCAAGGGCUGAGGAGACAGGGUUCCCUGGGUUGAGUGGAGCCGGACCCAGGACGGUACUAUAGGUAACUGGCAUCUGUGGUGAGCUUACCAGCACGUGGCUGUCCCGACAGCCCUGGAAGACAAGGACUUGUCUGGCACUAAAGGACCCGAGCCUCGGAGAAGGUGAAUGGCCGGCACUAGGCCACGCCGUGGCCACCCCCACCUCCCACCCCCUGCCCGUCUGACUCCGAAGUCUGCACUGAGCACGUCCUAUGCUGCCGUGCAGCCCUGAGUCUAUCCUGCUGAAAUACAGGAGAUAAAAAUAAGACCUUGACUAUUUGGACUGUGGGAUCCUAAAAUUAAAGCGAUCUCCCCAUAACCUGUCUGCUUCUGUUAGCACAGGCUUGUGGAGGAUGCAGAAUGCUGUUCAUUUGAACAGAAGGGUGAAGGUUGAUGUGACACGGCAGACAUCACACAUACCAGUACGGUGUCGUGUGAGGUGGGACCCUGUCACUGCCCCCGGGAGAGAGCAGGGUCUUCCCGCAGGAAGGGGGUCACAUGCAGUCACGCCACCCAGGGCCCUAUAGCACAUGACCUUCUCCGGGGCACAAAGAUCGAAAACAAGGGCUUGGCCAUUGCUGUCCUUUCAGACCCUGCCGCCCUGGCUGACGGUGGCAGAUUUGGAUUG